Small nucleolar RNA from Lathyrus oleraceus (garden pea), 107 nucleotides. NCBI's taxonomy places the organism in Eukaryota, Viridiplantae, Streptophyta, Magnoliopsida, Fabales, Fabaceae. The record is from RefSeq and is a predicted model, not a curated record.
AAUAUGUGAUAAGGACAUAGUCUUAUCAUAUAUUUAGAUCUUUCCCAAGCAUCAAAAAGUGAUUCUCCUUCGAUCUGUCUAAACAUAGUUAUAUGAUCUCUUACAAC